UAACCCUGCGUUUUACUACAAGUGUGAAAUGUAGAUGUGGAUUGGCAAUAAAAUAGAUUUUUAUUUGUCAUGAUUUUGCCUAAUUCCUCGUGUAGUAUUAAUUCUUUUGAGAAUUUGUUUCCCAAAUUCAUCAGACCAAAACUGAAAAAGGAUUUUACAAAUUUGUCCUGAAGUAGGAGAAAUGGUCUUUGAGGAUGAGCAUUAUCAUUGAUUAGGAAAUGCAAAGAACAAGAUAGAGAUGAGUUAAUAGUUAUGGAUUAUUCGAUGAAGAUGCUAGGUUUUGAAGAGAAAAUUGUUAUUCUCGUCUAAUUUAAACAAGACAA
RNAcentral lists this unclassified non-coding RNA (323 nucleotides) under Hevea brasiliensis (rubber tree). Lineage: Eukaryota; Viridiplantae; Streptophyta; Magnoliopsida; Malpighiales; Euphorbiaceae. The record is from RNAcentral.